RNAcentral lists this long non-coding RNA (234 nucleotides) under Elaeis guineensis (African oil palm). Its description in RNAcentral is "long non-coding RNA (EGUI_LNC008979)". Lineage: Eukaryota; Viridiplantae; Streptophyta; Magnoliopsida; Arecales; Arecaceae. The record is from RNAcentral.
GUCUACAGUUUAUCUCCUGUCUCUUUCCAAACGAUAAUUUGGAGAUCUCUGUCAUCCAUGUUCCCAACUGGUGUGUUUCCUGUAGAUUUCCGUCACACACGUGAUCUUCUCUCUACUAAUUCUACGUGAAUAGAAGGGAACACAUGGGUGGGGUCUCCAAUUACUAUGUUUCCUCCGCAAGUUGCUCUGCAAAACGUUUCUUCUACGUACCAAGUUGUGCAACGUUGUUCAGCG